This 227-nucleotide long non-coding RNA is filed under the name Homo sapiens (human). Its description in RNAcentral is "HSALNT0079275". Lineage: Eukaryota; Metazoa; Chordata; Mammalia; Primates; Hominidae. The record is from RNAcentral.
CAGUCUUUCAUUGUGCUUGAGUUUCUCCACCAUAUGUGGGUUUGUUUUUUUAUGCAAUAUUUGUUAACCUGCUAACAACCAGCAGAUGUUAUUGCAUUGUCUCCUGGAAUCUUUGAGAAGGUAAAUGUUGCUCCAGUGCUCUUGUAUUUCAUCAGUUGGUGUCUUGUGUUACAGAAUUGAAAGGUCCAUAAUUGUCAUGAAUCCUCACUGUAGGAUAAAGGACUCCA